Molecule: ribosomal RNA, 403 nt
Filed under: Verrucomicrobiota bacterium
Lineage: Bacteria; Pseudomonadati; Verrucomicrobiota
Description: Verrucomicrobia bacterium partial 16S ribosomal RNA
Rfam family: Bacterial small subunit ribosomal RNA
Source: RNAcentral
UGGGGAAUAUUGCACAAUGGGGGAAACCCUGAUGCAGCGACGCCGCGUGAGCGAAGAAGGCCUUCGGGUCGUAAAGCUCUUUUAUCUGGGAAGAUAAUGACGGUACCAUAGGAGGAAGCCCCGGCUAACUACGUGCCAGCAGCCGCGGCAAUACGUAGGGGGCGAGCGUUUGCCGGAAUUACUGGGCGUAAAGGGUUCGCAGGCGGCAUGGCAAGUCCGAUGUAAAAGGCGAAGGCUCAACCUUCGUAAGCAUCGGAAACUGUCAAGCUUGAGUGAAGGAGAGGCAAGUGGAAUUACUAGGGUAGCGGUGGAAUGCGUAGAUAUUAGGAGGAAUACCGGUGGCGAAGGCGACUUGCUGGACUUCAACUGACGCUGAGGAACGAAAGCGUGGGUAGCAAACAGG